UCACAGAAAUAUUUACAUCCUGUUAGAUCUGAUCUGUAGGUUACUUGUAGUUUGCAGACCACGUUGGGAUUUAUUUAUAUUUGUAAAUAUAU
Molecule: long non-coding RNA, 92 nt
Organism: Sebastes umbrosus (honeycomb rockfish)
Lineage: Eukaryota; Metazoa; Chordata; Actinopteri; Perciformes; Sebastidae
Exons: 4
Source: RefSeq, a predicted model, not a curated record